AGGUCACCUUCAAGCAACUCCAGCUCCGCAGUGAUCUACUACAGAACUGCCCGUGAGGAUUACAAAAGUGCAACACUUAGGGGGAAGUCAUGUGAGCUGCCAGAGGCCCCUCCAGGUAAAGCAUCGUGUGGAUAUGUAGUGUCAAGAGCACGAAUUUCCUAUCUUCCGUGUGCCUCCGUGGAAUCGCAUCUCAGCUCUACCCCUUUCUGGCCGAACAGCCAAGGCCGGAACAUUUCUGUCUCAUUUUCCGUAUAAAAACCCUUGUAUCAAUGCCUGGGUGUGCAAUUGGACAUAGAGUACACCUCCAGGUGACACUCCAGUUAGCCCUCUGUGCUCACCCAGUAUCCAUUAUCCAGACCUCCUGGCAUCCACCUUCUGGACCACCUGGCACCGUCAUCCUCACUGCCUGACACCUGACUGGUGACUGUCCUGGACCAAUGUCCCAGCGAGAAAUAGGCUGGUUUCACAGAAGCCGAACAGAAAGUACCUUCAUCAUGCAACACGUUUCGCUGGGCACCUGUUAUGAGCAGGCAGCUGCUCUGUG
Molecule: long non-coding RNA, 544 nt
Organism: Artibeus jamaicensis (Jamaican fruit-eating bat)
Lineage: Eukaryota; Metazoa; Chordata; Mammalia; Chiroptera; Phyllostomidae
Exons: 3
Source: RefSeq, a predicted model, not a curated record